RNAcentral lists this small RNA (29 nucleotides) under Bombyx mori (domestic silkworm). RNAcentral describes it as "ovarian small RNA-12967". The record is from RNAcentral. Lineage: Eukaryota; Metazoa; Arthropoda; Insecta; Lepidoptera; Bombycidae.
CACCGUCAAAUCGUGACCCGUGUUGCCGU